RNAcentral lists this ribosomal RNA (445 nucleotides) under uncultured bacterium. RNAcentral's name for it is "bacterial SSU rRNA". It matches the Rfam family "Bacterial small subunit ribosomal RNA", at positions 354 to 796 of the family's 1533-position model. The record is from RNAcentral.
GUAAGGAAUAUUGGUCAAUGGACGAAAGUCUGAACCAGCCAUGCCGCGUGAAGGAUGAAGGUCCUCUGGAUUGUAAACUUCUUUUAUCUGGGACGAAAAAAGGGAAUUCUUUCUCACUUGACGGUACCAGAGGAAUAAGCACCGGCUAACUCCGUGCCAGCAGCCGCGGUAAUACGGAGGGUGCAAGCGUUAUCCGGAUUUACUGGGUUUAAAGGGUGCGUAGGUGGGCAGGUAAGUCAGUGGUGAAAUCUCCGGGCUUAACUCGGAAACUGCCAUUGAUACUAUCUGUCUUGAAUAUCCUGGAGGUGAGCGGAAUAUGUCAUGUAGCGGUGAAAUGCUUAGAUAUGACAUAGAACACCAAUUGCGAAGGCAGCUCACUACGGGAUUAUUGACACUGAGGCACGAAAGCGUGGGGAUCAAACAGGAUUAGAAACCCCGGUAGUCC